GAGAAGACGUGCCUGUUGUAAACACAAUCUUUUCCUUGUUUCAGUAAAGGGCACUCCCCUACUUAUGGUCUUUGGUAAGCACAAAGAAGUUGCUCACAGACUCCCCAAACACACACCAGAUGUUCUUGAUGUUUUCCUUCCCAUAAUAUACAUCCAAUCAGUUGUAUUCGUAAUAUACAUCCAAUCAGUCAUAUCCUAUUGACCUGUUGAUGCUAUGCCCACUUUUCUGCGCCCGGCCUGCCCCUGAGGAACUGCCAUGAGUUGUUGCAGUUCCUGGGAACCAUGCCUCCUGUCUUUCUCCUUGGACUCCUCCUGGCCUGCAGCCAUUCUGUUUCCCAAGUUAAGUAGAAAGUCAACUUCAGUGGGCACCCCUUAACGGGGUACCCUCUUGCCCCUGCAAGAGUUCUGUUUCUGUUCUUCACACUUGAAUAAAUCCUACCUCUUUGACUGUUGAAAAAAAAAAUGAGGAGGAAGGAAGGAAGAGAAGGAGAAAGAAAGGAAGAUAAACUUAGGUAAAGCCCAAUUCCAGCCUUCUCUUUGCCCCUUAAAAACCUCUCAGCAGCUCUCAGAAUAAAGCAGUAUUAUUUGACAAGACACAUAAAGUCCAUUGUAAUCUGGUGGCAGACGACUUCUGCAGUCUCAUCCCCUGCCAUUGAACCCUGUGCAAACCCCUCACUUGCCAAACCAGCUGCUUUCCUGUUUGUGAAAGAGCAGAGCCAUUCUCCAUUCUUUGUUUUGUCUUUAGCUUGGGACCCGGCACAUAGGCACUCAAAUUCUAGAGAGUAAAUAAUUACUUGCUCUUUUCUUCACGUUUUCAUUAAAUAUUUUAGGCUUUAUCUGAGAAUUUGUUUUAUAUUUUAAACUUUUUAAC
RNAcentral lists this long non-coding RNA (871 nucleotides) under Marmota monax (woodchuck). The record is from RNAcentral. Lineage: Eukaryota; Metazoa; Chordata; Mammalia; Rodentia; Sciuridae.